This 237-nucleotide ribosomal RNA is filed under the name uncultured bacterium. RNAcentral's name for it is "partial 16S ribosomal RNA". It matches the Rfam family "Bacterial small subunit ribosomal RNA", at positions 540 to 776 of the family's 1533-position model. The record is from RNAcentral.
GUUGUUCGGAAUUACUGGGCGUAAAGGGCGCGUAGGCGGCUCGCUAAGUCGGAUGUGAAAACUCUGGGCUCAACCCAGAGCCUGCAUUCGAAACUAACGAGCUCGAGUUCUGGAGGGGAAAGCGGAAUUCCUGGUGUAGCGGUGAAAUGCGUAGAUAUCAGGAGGAACACCGGUGGCGAAGGCGGCUUUCUGGACAGAAACUGACGCUGAUGCGCGAAAGCUAGGGGAGCAAACAGG